RNAcentral lists this ribosomal RNA (253 nucleotides) under uncultured bacterium. RNAcentral's name for it is "partial 16S ribosomal RNA". It matches the Rfam family "Bacterial small subunit ribosomal RNA", at positions 524 to 776 of the family's 1533-position model. The record is from RNAcentral.
UACGUAGGCAGCGAGCGUUGUUCGGAGUUACUGGGCGUAAAGAGUGCGUAGGCGGUUUUCUAAGUUUGGUGUGAAAUCUCCCGGCUUAACUGGGAGGGUGCGCCGAAAACUGGAAGGCUUGAGUAUGGGAGAGGUAAGCGGAAUUCCUGGUGUAGCGGUGAAAUGCGCAGAUAUCAGGAGGAACACCGGUGGCGAAGGCGGUUCUCUGGGCAUUACCUGACGCUGAGGAGCGAAAGUGUGGGGAGCGAACAGG